AUUAUCCUUCAUUCCAUCUCAAUUUCUUUUAAGCUAUAUAAUUUAAUAUAGUGAAUAUAAAUAUUCAAAACACUCUAUAAUAACUUAAGAUUUUGAAGAAUAACGAUUAUUUCACAUAAUUUACAUGAUAUCAAAAUAAAUGAUACUGUGUACGAGUCCUAUCAGGCUCUUAAUAUUAUUAAUAUAUUUUUUUAGAGAAGUACGGUCUCAGAUACUGAGUUGAAUCCUAUCAGACUCCUAUUACUAUUGAUUUUCUCUUUAGAGAACAACAUAUCUGAGUUCUAUCAGGCUCCCAAUAUUAUUGUUGCCUCUUUGGAGAAUAACGGUCCGAGGUACUGAGUUUGACUCCUAUCAUUUUUCUAACAUUAUUAAUUUCCUCUUUAAAGGUCAACGGUAUGAAGUAUUGAGUUCGAGUCUUUUGAUUUUCUCUUUGGAGAACAACAAUUAAUUGUUU
Molecule: long non-coding RNA, 454 nt
Filed under: Ananas comosus (pineapple)
Lineage: Eukaryota; Viridiplantae; Streptophyta; Magnoliopsida; Poales; Bromeliaceae
Description: long non-coding RNA (ACOM_LNC017422)
Source: RNAcentral